This is a long non-coding RNA of Caretta caretta (loggerhead turtle), 1590 nucleotides long. RefSeq lists it as uncharacterized. The record is from RefSeq and is a predicted model, not a curated record. NCBI's taxonomy places the organism in Eukaryota, Metazoa, Chordata, Testudines, Cheloniidae.
ACUCCAUCAGUUAUUGGGGUGGCAUGUCCGGGUCUUCGGUGGCGGGUCCUUCAUUCCCUCCCUUCCACUUCGGCGGCACUUCGGCAGCAGCUCAGUCGGGUUGGGUUUUUUUUUUCACCGCUUGGGGUGGCAAAAAAGCUGGAACCGGCCCUGGCAGAGGGAAGGCUUAGGUUCAAUGCUCAGUUGAGUUGGUGUUUUACAUCCAGGGUGAGAUGUCAGGGAGAUUAUCAGAGACCUGCGACUGAACGGUGUAAAGAUGGAGAUGCAGACUUGUAAACUGUCCCCAGAGAAGUCAUAGUUAAAGCUGAGGGAGCAGAUGAGGUCAACAAGGGAUGAAGUAUAAAGGGAGCAGAGGACAGGCUGCCUUAGGGAUUCCUGCAGGGAGUGGGAGAGCAGUGGAGGAAGAGUCCCCAAAGGAGGCAAUGGAGAAGUAGUGGAAGAAGAAAGAGGUGAAUCAGAAGCAUACACCAUCUUGGAGGUCUUAGGAACGAGAGAGUCUGGAAGGAGGGGUGAUACAUCUUGUCCCAAGCAGCAGAAGAUGAGAAUGGAAGACAGGCCCUUCAGUUCAGCUAGACGUGGUGACCGGAUGACCUUGGAGGACUAUCAGGGCAGACCCCAGAAGAUGUAUAAAUGAAGCCAGGUGAUUCUUUAACAACACAUGGCAGAGCUGCAGCGAGGGCACAGUUGGUUCCGUUUUCCUGAAGAGGAGUGGAGCUGAGCUGUCAACGUCUACAGGGUUUGGGCCGGUCACCAGGGCUGGAGCUUCUCCCUGUCUCCAAAGCAUGUGCUGCCACACCCAGUCUCAGUCAAGGAGGUUUAUUUCUUUAACAGAGGUUAUCAAACAAGCAGAAACUCCAUCCUUGGCCCCAGGCUUCAGGGCCACCCCUCCCAGGAGUCUCUGGCAUUCCAGCUCGAGGCAGCUUCCCAGCCCUCUUUUGGCUCAGCUCCCUUCCUGAAGCAGCAGCCAGGGGCUGCUUCCCUGAGUCCCUGGCCUCAGGGACCCACCACAGGAGCUAACUCUGCUCUGCUGUGGUCUUCACUCCCCAGGGCUUGGCCUGUCUCAGUCCUUCCUCUGGCCCAGCAGCCCUUUAUAGGCCCAGGUGUAGCUCGGCCCUCUUUAAUUGGCUGGAUUGGAUUCACCUGCUCUGGUCCUGGGGCACUGAGCGUCAUCCAUCUGCAGAGACCAGCUACCCUGUGACAGACAGGGCCUAAAUGAGGGAGGCUUGUCUCUGAAGCCAGGGUAUCAUCUGAAUAAACCUAAGCAAGGUGUCAAAGCGAAGAGGAUCGGAGCUGGCUCGGAUUUCUAAAUACAGUAAAAACGUUUAUGACCCAGUUCUGUCUCCGUGCUGCCGAGCCAGGAAUUAUGGACAGGGAUUCCUGUUAUGCAAACUCAAGUGACAAGACUGCAGACAGUGCUGCACAUAAGAGAAACUUCAAAGAUCACAGACGUUUCCAAGGUAUCAGAAUCUGGCCCAUUGGGAUCAAUAAGGGAUAUGCAUGCAAUGAAAUAUCUUCUGCAUCACAGUUGGAGUGUGAGUGGCAGGAAUCAGCUAACCACCAGAGAAGUACUAGAUUGACAGACUAGGAAGG